CGCUUUUUGCAGUGGCAGUAUCAUAGCCGAUGAGGUUUAGCCAACGUAUGGUUAUUGCUAAUUGGAAACUUUUCCCAGGACCCCACCCCGAAGACUUGCAAUAUAGUCGGCACUGGCAAUUUUUGACAGUCUAUGGAGAC
Molecule: small nuclear RNA, 140 nt
Organism: Cercocebus atys (sooty mangabey)
Lineage: Eukaryota; Metazoa; Chordata; Mammalia; Primates; Cercopithecidae
Gene: U4
Rfam family: U4 spliceosomal RNA
About the family: U4 small nuclear RNA (U4 snRNA) is a component of the major U2-dependent spliceosome. The structure of U4 snRNA from yeast and human has been reported.
Source: Ensembl